GACGAACGCUGGCGGCGUGCUUAACACAUGCAAGUCGAACGGACCCUUUGGGGUUAGUGGCGAACGGGUGAGUAACACGUGGGUGAUCUGCCCUGCACUUUGGGAUAAGCCUGGGAAACUGGGUCUAAUACCGGAUAGGACUACGCACUGCAUGGUGUGUGGUGGAAAGCUUUUGCGGUGUGGGAUGGGCCCGCGGCCUAUCAGCUUGUUGGUGGGGUGAUGGCCUACCAAGGCGACGACGGGUAGCCGGCCUGAGAGGGUGACCGGCCACACUGGGACUGAGAUACGGCCCAGACUCCUACGGGAGGCAGCAGUGGGGAAUAUUGCACAAUGGGCGCAAGCCUGAUGCAGCGACGCCGCGUGAGGGAUGACGGCCUUCGGGUUGUAAACCUCUUUCGCCAGGGACGAAGCGCAAGUGACGGUACCUGGAGAAGAAGGACCGGCCAACUACGUGCCAGCAGCCGCGGUAAUACGUAGGGUCCGAGCGUUGUCCGGAAUUACUGGGCGUAAAGAGCUCGUAGGUGGUUUGUCGCGUUGUUCGUGAAAACUCACAGCUUAACUGUGGGCGUGCGGGCGAUACGGGCAGACUGGAGUACUGCAGGGGAGACUGGAGUUCCUGGUGUAGCGGUGGAAUGCGCAGAUAUCAGGAGGAACACCGGUGGCGAAGGCGGGUCUCUGGGCAGUAACUGACGCUGAGGAGCGAAAGCGUGGGGAGCGAACAGGAUUAGAUACCCUGGUAGUCCACGCCGUAAACGGUGGGUACUAGGUGUGGGUUUCCUUCCUUGGGAUCCGUGCCGUAGCUAACGCAUUAAGUACCCCGCCUGGGGAGUACGGCCGCAAGGCUAAAACUCAAAGGAAUUGACGGGGGCCCGCACAAGCGGCGGAGCAUGUGGAUUAAUUCGAUGCAACGCGAAGAACCUUACCUGGGUUUGACAUGCACAGGACGCCGGCAGAGAUGUCGGUUCCCUUGUGGCCUGUGUGCAGGUGGUGCAUGGCUGUCGUCAGCUCGUGUCGUGAGAUGUUGGGUUAAGUCCCGCAACGAGCGCAACCCUUGUCUCAUGUUGCCAGCACGUUAUGGUGGGGACUCGUGAGAGACUGCCGGGGUCAACUCGGAGGAAGGUGGGGAUGACGUCAAGUCAUCAUGCCCCUUAUGUCCAGGGCUUCACACAUGCUACAAUGGCCGGUACAAAGGGCUGCGAUGCCGUGAGGUGGAGCGAAUCCUUUCAAAGCCGGUCUCAGUUCGGAUCGGGGUCUGCAACUCGACCCCGUGAAGUCGGAGUCGCUAGUAAUCGCAGAUCAGCAACGCUGCGGUGAAUACGUUCCCGGGCCU
Molecule: ribosomal RNA, 1330 nt
Filed under: uncultured bacterium
Lineage: Bacteria
Description: bacterial SSU rRNA
Rfam family: Bacterial small subunit ribosomal RNA
Source: RNAcentral